ACGGUUUUUUAGGCAGAAAACAUUGAACAUUGAAAACUUUAAUCAUAAUUUUUACGCGUAAAAAGAUUCUUUAACGUAUAUAUUCAUUCAUUACCAACUUACACUUGAGAGUGCGCUCAAACUGUUUCAACCCAAUAAAUUAGUUGCUAUCGCCGGCACUUCUAGCGAAUUUGCCAGUGAACAUACAGUUCAAGUGCUUGAUAUAAUCAUAGCCAACUCAUUCAACUUUGCUCAUUCAACUUGGCUAUUCUGCGUUUAAAUAGUAAUUUGCCUUUGGACAUAUGAAACGACCUUAAGUGGGUCAUUUUGGACGAUAUCGAUAACUCUGAUAAUUCAUGUUUAGCAAAUUUUUACUUCAGAAAUGAACGUCAUUUUUAUGGAACGCAUCCCACGCGAAUAAGGAACUUUUACUGUACAUUAUAAGACAAAGAUUGAAGAAUUCCAAUUUCAUCGGUCCAACUUGACGGCUCUAUGGCAACCAUUAUGCUGACGUAUGCGCGACUGAUAAACGCUCGAGUGAUUUUGCAAACAGACAACGAAUCCAUCAUGUGGUUUAGAGUCCCUAUGCUGAAGCGAAGUCGCAUAUUGCUACAGUUUCGUUCUGAUCGCAAAUUGAAAGUGCUUAUAAAAUACGCCCGAUCUGCUUACGAUAGAAAAACUUAAUAAUUUUGCGCACGUUCUUGAAAUCUUCAUUGCUUUAUAGCAAAAUGACAGACAGAGAUUAGACUUUUAAUUUAACCGAAAACACUAAUAAUCUCAAAAGAAGAUGAACUCCACAUGAGAGCAACCCAAGAUCUUCCAACUGAAAUAAAAGAAGUAUUUUGCGAAAGAAAUCAUAUUCAAAACUGCCGCUUAUAAGUAAGUCCGUCUGAUUAAUAUUCAAUGAAGUUUAACGUUUUUAUUAGUUUAUAAUAUAUAAAACAAAAAUUUGAUUAUUACAAUGUUUUUUUUUUUAAUAUGCUCAUGGAUUAGUUUGCACUAUUGCGUUAGAGCUUUGAACAAAAAUGAAGUAACAAAACAAUUAUUUAAAGACUUUUGAAAGAAUGAAAAUUUUAUAAAUCUAUAAAAAAAAAAAAAAACAAAAGUAUUUUACUAAAAUAAGUCAUGACUCAUGAGUAUCACAUCACAUUAACUCUCAACAUUUAACUCAUCAGAUAAAAAAAAAAAAAAA
This is a long non-coding RNA of Glossina fuscipes, 1171 nucleotides long. RefSeq lists it as uncharacterized. NCBI's taxonomy places the organism in Eukaryota, Metazoa, Arthropoda, Insecta, Diptera, Glossinidae. The transcript is spliced from 2 exons. The record is from RefSeq and is a predicted model, not a curated record.